GAUGAACGCUAGCGAUAGGCCUAACACAUGCAAGUCGAGGGGCAGCAUAGAGUAGCAAUACUUUGAUGGCGACCGGCGCACGGGUGAGUAACACGUAUGCAACCUACCUACAUCAGGGGAAUAACCCGGAGAAAUUCGGACUAAUACCGCAUAAUACAGGGAUGCCGCAUGGCAAUAUUUGUUAAAGAUUUAUCGGAUGUAGAUGGGCAUGGGUUCCAUUAGCUUGUUGGUGAGGUAACGGCUCACCAAGGCAACGAUGGAUAGGGGAACUGAGAGGUUUGUCCCCCACACUGGAACUGAGACACGGACCAGACUCCUACGGGAGGCAGCAGUGAGGAAUAUUGGUCAAUGGACGAGAGUCUGAACCAGCCAAAUCGCGUGAAGGAAGACUGCCCUACGGGUUGUAAACUUCUUUUGUACAGGAAUAAAAGACAUUACGUGUAAUGUAUUGCAUGUACUGUACGAAUAAGCAUCGGCUAACUCCGUGCCAGCCGCCGCGGUAA
This 503-nucleotide ribosomal RNA is filed under the name uncultured bacterium. RNAcentral's name for it is "partial 16S ribosomal RNA". It matches the Rfam family "Bacterial small subunit ribosomal RNA", at positions 28 to 523 of the family's 1533-position model. The record is from RNAcentral.